Oryza sativa Japonica Group (Japanese rice) is the source of this 207-nucleotide microRNA precursor. It matches the Rfam family "MIR812 microRNA precursor family". The record is from Rfam. Lineage: Eukaryota; Viridiplantae; Streptophyta; Magnoliopsida; Poales; Poaceae.
AAAAAGACAAACCCUGGGUUUCCGUGUCCAACGUUUGACCGUCCGUCUUAUUUGAAAAAAUUAUGAAAAAAAAUUAAAAAGACAAGUCACGCAUAAAGUAUUAAUCAUGUUUUAUCAUCUAACAACAAUAAAAAUACUAAUUAUAAAAAAAUUCAUAUAAGACGGACAGUUAAACGUUGGACACGGAAACUCAGGAUUUGUCUUUUU